AUGUCGCCAUCCGAGAGCUCGACGCUGUCGUCAAGGAGGGAGUCAUGGCGGACAUGCAGGAGGACGUGUCGGUGGAGGGCAGUCUUGGUCGUGGACGGAGACGAUGUCGUGCAUGCCAGAGUAUGUGUCUGUGCUGCCUGUCUGGGUGGGUGCCGACACGUGGUCACCGUCGGCACCACGGCCAAAGGUUGUGCAGCGACCUCCGCAUGCGCCUCCGGCCAGGCAGGAGCCGUGAGCCCACCUCUGGCAGCCGCCACCGUACAUCGACCUCACCUGGGACGACGACGAGGAGGACGAUGGGGUGUGAAGAUGGCGGCAUCGAGGGCGACCACGGCAGCGGCGUCAUCAUGUCUAUUUUAUGUUUUUUAA
Molecule: ribosomal RNA, 369 nt
Filed under: Triticum aestivum (bread wheat)
Lineage: Eukaryota; Viridiplantae; Streptophyta; Magnoliopsida; Poales; Poaceae
Description: partial small subunit ribosomal RNA
Source: RNAcentral